GGAUAAGUAUCAUACUUGGCAUAGUUUUUGGGAUAAUUGGACUCAUCGUUCUAAUUAUCCUUUGUAUAGUUGCUUGUGUUUGCUGUUGUGCCCAAGCUGGUCAAAGUUCAUCAAAAUCAACCGUUGUUCAUGCACAUAACCAAGUGUCUCCUGUCGUGGUUACCCAUAGCAACGCUCAAGCUCCACCACCAGCGUACAGCAUCCAAGCUCAGCAGGCAGCGCCACAAACAUACACCAACUAUGCUGCAAAUGAUCCCGGAGUAGUACCACCUCCAGCUCUAUACUAUCCUCCAAAUACGACGACAGCAUAAGUGAAUUCGCUGUCAUAGUAACUGAAUAUAUAUUUGACACUUUCCGAUUUUAUUUUUCACGGCAUUCCGUUUGCUUUAUAAAAUCCUAGUACCUAAAUACGCCUUCCUGUGAUAUUCGACCGCAAAUAUGUUACUUUUACUAAGUAUAUUCAUUGUUAUGACAUUUUCAACCGUUGAAGACGUAAACAAAUAAAAGAAUAUAUAUAAAAAGACAGAAA
Saccoglossus kowalevskii is the source of this 529-nucleotide long non-coding RNA. Lineage: Eukaryota; Metazoa; Hemichordata; Enteropneusta; Harrimaniidae. The record is from RefSeq and is a predicted model, not a curated record.